CUUUAGAAAAAUCUCUCGCUGGCGAAUGAACAGGCGUUACAGGCGGCAAUCAAAGAUAUCCACAAUAUGCAUUUCAUGUCAGCGAUGGGAGAGUUGUGUUAAAAAAAAGCAUAUAAACGUUUAUAUAUAACCAUUUACCAUGCCUCUGCCAUAAUGGUUUAUCUCAUUAUCUUAGGAUUCAUAGAUAAAUUAAGUUUUAUUAACGUUCCCACAUUGCUUUAUUCCAAUGGUUGUUUGUUUAUGAAAUGGUACCUAAAACUCCCAUUUCCUUCUUGUCUCGUGCUGUCAUACCUACAAAUGGUAUUUAACCUUGUGACCGCCAAUUAUAAUAACCAAAAAUGACAUGCACACGCCAACACCAUUCUUACAAUAUAAUGACAGCGCAUAGCAUUUCUGAGGCUAUAGAUACAAAAACUCACGAAGCCAGGGGUUUUGGCGUUCAGAGGGUUGAUACCUGUUAACUAAGUGAUAUUAAUUUAAUUCCUUUCUUUUUCAGAAUGAAGAAUCAAGAUGUGAUUAAUAGUUAUGUAAUAUAAAUAUCAGCUGUUACGCUGAAAUUGAAGCAAGAGGGUAUAAUAAGAUAAGCCAGUUAGCAUAGCAAAUAAUACGAGUAAUAAUAAAGUAUUUUGUACAUUCA
Cydia splendana is the source of this 637-nucleotide long non-coding RNA. RefSeq lists it as uncharacterized. The transcript has 2 exons. NCBI's taxonomy places the organism in Eukaryota, Metazoa, Arthropoda, Insecta, Lepidoptera, Tortricidae. The record is from RefSeq and is a predicted model, not a curated record.